This 568-nucleotide ribosomal RNA is filed under the name Micrococcaceae bacterium. Its description in RNAcentral is "bacterial SSU rRNA". It matches the Rfam family "Bacterial small subunit ribosomal RNA", at positions 829 to 1397 of the family's 1533-position model. Lineage: Bacteria; Bacillati; Actinomycetota; Actinomycetes; Micrococcales; Micrococcaceae. The record is from RNAcentral.
AUUCCACGUUUUCCGCGCCGUAGCUAACGCAUUAAGUGCCCCGCCUGGGGAGUACGGCCGCAAGGCUAAAACUCAAAGGAAUUGACGGGGGCCCGCACAAGCGGCGGAGCAUGCGGAUUAAUUCGAUGCAACGCGAAGAACCUUACCAAGGCUUGACAUGAACCGGUAAUACCUGGAAACAGGUGCCCCGCUUGCGGUCGGUUUACAGGUGGUGCAUGGUUGUCGUCAGCUCGUGUCGUGAGAUGUUGGGUUAAGUCCCGCAACGAGCGCAACCCUCGUUCUAUGUUGCCAGCGGUUCGGCCGGGGACUCAUAGGAGACUGCCGGGGUCAACUCGGAGGAAGGUGGGGACGACGUCAAAUCAUCAUGCCCCUUAUGUCUUGGGCUUCACGCAUGCUACAAUGGCCGGUACAAAGGGUUGCGAUACUGUGAGGUGGAGCUAAUCCCAAAAAGCCGGUCUCAGUUCGGAUUGGGGUCUGCAACUCGACCCCAUGAAGUCGGAGUCGCUAGUAAUCGCAGAUCAGCAACGCUGCGGUGAAUACGUUCCCGGGCCUUGCACUCACCGCCCGU